This 253-nucleotide ribosomal RNA is filed under the name uncultured bacterium. RNAcentral's name for it is "partial 16S ribosomal RNA". It matches the Rfam family "Bacterial small subunit ribosomal RNA", at positions 524 to 776 of the family's 1533-position model. The record is from RNAcentral.
UACGUAGGGGGCAAGCGUUGUCCGGAUUUAUUGGGCGUAAGGAGCGUGUAGGCGGCCAGGUAGGUCAGCUGUGAAAACUCGAGGCUCAACCUCGAGACGUCGGUUGAAACCACCUGGCUAGAGUCCGGAAGAGGAGAGUGGAAUUCCUGGUGUAGCGGUGAAAUGCGCAGAUAUCAGGAAGAACACCCGUGGCGAAGGCGGCUCUCUGGGACGGUACUGACGCUGAGACGCGAAAGCGUGGGGAGCGAACAGG